Molecule: ribosomal RNA, 468 nt
Filed under: uncultured bacterium
Lineage: Bacteria
Description: partial 16S ribosomal RNA
Rfam family: Bacterial small subunit ribosomal RNA
Source: RNAcentral
GACGAACGCUGGCGGCGUGCUUAACACAUGCAAGUCGAACGGAAAGGCCCUGCUUUUGUGGGGUGCUCGAGUGGCGAACGGGUGAGUAACACGUGAGUAACCUACCCUUGACUUUGGGAUAACUUCAGGAAACUGGGGCUAAUACCGGAUAGGAGCUCCUGCUGCAUGGUGGGGGGUGGAAAGUUUCGGCGGUUGGGGAUGGACUCGCGGCUUAUCAGCUUGUUGGUGGGGUAGUGGCUUACCAAGGCUUUGACGGGUAGCCGGCCUGAGAGGGUGACCGGCCACAUUGGGACUGAGAUACGGCCCAGACUCCUACGGGAGGCAGCAGUGGGGAAUAUUGCACAAUGGGCGGAAGCCUGAUGCAGCAACGCCGCGUGCGGGAUGACGGCCUUCGGGUUGUAAACCGCUUUCGCCUGUGACGAAGCGUGAGUGACGGUAAUGGGUAAAGAAGCACCGGCUAACUACGUG